GUGAGAAAACUUCUGUUUAUGCAGCCCAGUCUGUGACACUUUGUUCUGGCAGCCCUAGGGCACUAAGAUACUGGCUGUGAUUAUUUCGUCACUUCAACCGCCUGUAUCAUUGGCCUGAAGGGAGAAUAGGCGCCCCCGCAAGGAUCUCUGCAAAGAUAUUACUUCUCAAGUCUGAAAAGGGACCUGAGGUUUUGCUGCUUUUCUGUAUCCUCCCAACUCACUCUUGAAUUAGUGUUGGAUACCUUCUCUCGUUUCUCUGCAUCACAGGUCUGGGAUAUUGGCUGUCCCACUACCUUGGGUUCAGGUACACAGAAGCUCAUGGCAUUUCUCCUGGAUCUCAGAACUGGAAGUGAAUGCCAAGGCAGGUCUGCUUGUAGAUGAGCAGGAGGAGAAGGAGUACCUUCUCUCACCUUAGUGAGAGAGACUUCGGCUUCAAGGUCUGCUUGGGAGCUUUAUUUGUGUUCCCUGACGUUUGAGGGGCAGAGAGUACUGGGGUCUGAAACAUGCCUGAGAAGUUUAAUAGCAAAGGUUACAAUCUGUGCCUGAAGCAGUGGAAGCGAAGAAGCCAGGGCUGUCCUGGGAGCAAGCUGCUCUGCCACCGCUACUUGGGCACAGAGGAGUGCAUUUUCCCAAGGACCAGUGGACCCAUAGGAUCUUUCGGAAGAACUAUGUCCAGGAGAAUGCCUGGAUGUGGAGCUGGGGCCAAUGUGACCCACCAGAGUGGUGGACCAUACCUUGUCCAGGAAAGAAAGGCAACAGAAUCCCAGAACCUCCAACUGCCAUAUCACUUGGGAGCUGUGAAGAACUUGAUGGUUCAUUAUUGCCAAUUCCUACCUGGAAGCCCACAUUCUUCUCCUGUGAG
Molecule: long non-coding RNA, 862 nt
Filed under: Equus caballus (horse)
Lineage: Eukaryota; Metazoa; Chordata; Mammalia; Perissodactyla; Equidae
Description: lncRNA (ENSECAG00000038984.3)
Source: RNAcentral